This is a small nucleolar RNA of Sorex fumeus (smoky shrew), 134 nucleotides long. RefSeq annotates it as U8 small nucleolar RNA. The transcript has a single exon. NCBI's taxonomy places the organism in Eukaryota, Metazoa, Chordata, Mammalia, Eulipotyphla, Soricidae. The record is from RefSeq and is a predicted model, not a curated record.
UCAUCAGGUAGGAUAAUUCCUCUUUCUCCUCUAUUCAGAGAGCAGAUAGAACAUGAUGAUUGGAGUUUGAAGGAUUUGUGAUUAUCAUCUCUGUGUGACUAGGGCUCACAAAACCCUAAUCGCUCCUAUCUGAU